GGCCUCCCAAUGCUUACCACAGGCUGUGUUCUUUACACUGACUGUAUAAAAAAUGAAGGUACUGUAAAUGCACCCCAUAUAUACUCAGCCCAGGCCCUUUGCCUGGUCUGUAUUGUGAAUGGGGGGACAUGG
This is a small nucleolar RNA of Suncus etruscus (white-toothed pygmy shrew), 132 nucleotides long. RefSeq annotates it as small nucleolar RNA SNORA51. NCBI's taxonomy places the organism in Eukaryota, Metazoa, Chordata, Mammalia, Eulipotyphla, Soricidae. The transcript has a single exon. The record is from RefSeq and is a predicted model, not a curated record.